UUGAAGGAGGAAGCUAAGUGAAUAGGAAUUAGAAGUGGUUGUUGGAGGAAGAAAUGUAGUACAAGGGUGGGGUGGUGUGGUGGUCGGAAUCUUCAAAGGAGGGGAGGAGGAGCUUGCGGUAUUCUUAUGCAAACAUUCCACAUUUUCAUGAGUAUGGGGUUGGAAAUGGUCAAAACUAAAAAAAUGUUGGGUCUUAACAUUGCGUUUUAAUAUUGGGGGUGGAAAAUUGAAUUCAGUGUUACUAUUCCUAAAUCUAUAGAGGUAGUUUUGAUCCCAUUAACUGUUUCCUAGCUCGGCUAACGCUCAAUGGCCACUUGAUUCUA
Arabidopsis thaliana (thale cress) is the source of this 323-nucleotide long non-coding RNA. RefSeq annotates it as other RNA. The record is from RefSeq. Lineage: Eukaryota; Viridiplantae; Streptophyta; Magnoliopsida; Brassicales; Brassicaceae. The transcript has a single exon.